UCCUGGCUCAGGAUGAACGCUGGCGGCGUGCUUAACACAUGCAAGUCGAACGAAGCACUUUAUUUGAUUUCCUUCGGGACUGAUUAUUUUGUGACUGAGUGGCGGACGGGUGAGUAACGCGUGGGUAACCUGCCUUGUACAGGGGGAUAACAGUUGGAAACGGCUGCUAAUACCGCAUAAGCGCACAGCAUCGCAUGAUGCAGUGUGUAAAACUCCGGUGGUAUAAGAUGGACCCGCGUUGGAUUAGCUAGUUGGUGAGGUAACGGCCCACCAAGGCGACGAUCCAUAGCCGACCUGAGAGGGUGACCGGCCACAUUGGGACUGAGACACGGCCCAAACUCCUACGGGAGGCAGCAGUGGGGAAUAUUGCACAAUGGGCGAAAGCCUGAUGCAGCGACGCCGCGUGAGCGAAGAAGUAUUUCGGUAUGUAAAGCUCUAUCAGCAGGGAAGAUAAUGACGGUACCUGACUAAGAAGCACCGGCUAAAUACGUGCCAGCAGCCGCGGUAAUACGUAUGGUGCAAGCGUUAUCC
This 531-nucleotide ribosomal RNA is filed under the name uncultured bacterium. Its description in RNAcentral is "bacterial SSU rRNA". It matches the Rfam family "Bacterial small subunit ribosomal RNA", at positions 17 to 546 of the family's 1533-position model. The record is from RNAcentral.